AGCGAACAUUGGCGGUAGGCUUAACACAUGCAAGUCGAGCGAGGCGUAAUAGUCGAGCGGCGAACGGGUGCGUAAUAUAUGGGAAUCUACCUCGAAGUGGGGGAUAACGUUCAGAAAUGGACGCUAAUACCGCAUAAUCCAUAUUGGGAAAGCGUUGCAGCGCUUUGAGAUGAGCCCAUGGCUGAUUAGCUAGUUGGUGAGGUAAUGGCUCACCAAGGCGACGAUCAGUAGCUGGUCUGAGAGGAUGACCAGCCACACUGGAACUGAGACACGGUCCAGACUCCUACGGGAGGCAGCAGUGGGGAAUCUUGCGCAAUGGGGGCAACACUGACGCAGCCAUACCGCGCGAGUGAUGAAGGUCUUCGGAUUGUAAAGCUCUUUCGGCGGGGACGACGAUGACGGUACCCGCAAAAGAAGUCACGGCUAACUUCGUGCCAGCAGCCGCGGUAA
Molecule: ribosomal RNA, 450 nt
Filed under: uncultured bacterium
Lineage: Bacteria
Description: partial 16S ribosomal RNA
Rfam family: Bacterial small subunit ribosomal RNA
Source: RNAcentral